Molecule: long non-coding RNA, 513 nt
Filed under: Dicentrarchus labrax (European seabass)
Lineage: Eukaryota; Metazoa; Chordata; Actinopteri; Moronidae
Description: lncRNA (ENSDLAG00005023534.2)
Source: RNAcentral
UGCCACGUGCUUAACACAAAGCCACACAAAAGUGUAAUUUGCCAGCAAUGCUGAACUGUAUGUGCAUUGUUUGAGUCUUACAGCUUAUUUAGUGUUGACUGUUUUCUUUUAGGACCUGAGCUGGGAUGCCUGAGUCUCCUCUCAGUCCCACGGCAACCCGUCAAACUCCAGCCAGCAGCCUGCUCUGUCACACAGACAACGGUGCAGGAGAGAGAGUAGCUAAUGGGGACUCCUGCAGCGGUGUGAGUGGUGAAAACUGGCAGAGUCUCCACCAGAAACAGCUUUUUCUGGCUAUGAUGGCUCCUCAGCACAUGCAUCACCUUCUGUCCCCGAACCAGCUGCAGGCACUGAUCCACCAGAAGCAACAAGCUCUCAUUCUCCAGCAGCAACAUCUGAAAGAGGUUUACAAGAAGCAACAACAGCAGAUUCACCUGCAGCUGCUUCAGCAGCAGCCCAGCAAGAAAGUCAAAGAGGUAAGUAAUUAUUUGUGGCCUGUUUGUUCAUUUAAGUUUG